UACGUAGGAGGCGAGCGUUGUCCGGAAUUACUGGGCGUAAAGCGCGCGUAGGCGGCGCCGUACGACCCGUGUGAAAGCCCCCGGCUCAACUGGGGAGGGUCACGGGUUACGGCGGUGCUCUGAGUGCAGGAGAGGGGAGUGGAACUCCGGGAGUAGCGGUGAAAUGCGUAGAGACCCGGAGGAACACCAGUGGCGAAGGCGGCUCCCUGGCCUGCGACUGACGCUGUGGCGCGAAAGCUGGGGGA
This 245-nucleotide ribosomal RNA is filed under the name uncultured bacterium. RNAcentral's name for it is "partial 16S ribosomal RNA". It matches the Rfam family "Bacterial small subunit ribosomal RNA", at positions 524 to 767 of the family's 1533-position model. The record is from RNAcentral.